This 536-nucleotide ribosomal RNA is filed under the name Poropterus sp. ARC1927. RNAcentral's name for it is "partial 16S large subunit ribosomal RNA". The record is from RNAcentral. Lineage: Eukaryota; Metazoa; Arthropoda; Insecta; Coleoptera; Curculionidae.
GGCCUAUUGWUUWUAAUUUUWGGUCAGACCUGCCCAAUGAUUUAAUUCAAUGGCCGCGGUAUUUUGACCGUGCAAAGGUAGCGUAAUCAUUAGUUUUUUAAUUAAAAGCUUGUAUGAAAGGUUUAAUGAAAAAAUAGCUGUCUCUAUUUAAAUUAUUUAGAAUUUUAUUUUUAAGUUAAAAAGCUUAAAUAUAUAUAGAAGACGAGAAGACCCUAUAGAGUUUAAUAGUUGUUUGUGUGGAUAAAAUUUUAGGAUUUUCUAAUUUAUUCAAGUAAUUAUUUGAUUGGGGUGAUUAAAAAAUUAGUUAAACUUUUUUUUCAUUUUUACAUUUAUUUAUGAGUUUGUGAUCCUUUAUUAAAGAUUAAAAGAUAAAAUUACCUUAGGGAUAACAGCGUAAUUUUUUUUUAAAGACCAAAUUGAAAAAAAAGAUUGCGACCUCGAUGUUGGAUUAAAAUAAAUCAUUGGUGUAGAAGCUAAUAGAUUAGGUCUGUUCGACCUUUAAAAUUUUACAUGAUCUGAGUUUAAACCGGUGUGAG